Molecule: ribosomal RNA, 668 nt
Filed under: uncultured Lachnospiraceae bacterium
Lineage: Bacteria; Bacillati; Bacillota; Clostridia; Lachnospirales; Lachnospiraceae
Description: bacterial SSU rRNA
Rfam family: Bacterial small subunit ribosomal RNA
Source: RNAcentral
ACUUAAGUUCGAUUCUUCGGAUGAGGACUUUUGUGACUGAGCGGCGGACGGGUGAGUAACGCGUGGGUAACCUGCCUCAUACAGGGGGAUAACAGUUAGAAAUGGCUGCUAAUACCGCAUAAGACCACAGUACUGCAUGGUACAGUGGUAAAAACUCUGGUGGUAUGAGAUGGACCCGCGUCUGAUUAGGUAGUUGGUGAGGUAACGGCUCACCAAGCCGACGAUCAGUAGCCGACCUGAGAGGGUGACCGGCCACAUUGGGACUGAGACACGGCCCAGACUCCUACGGGAGGCAGCAGUGGGGAAUAUUGCACAAUGGGCGGAAGCCUGAUGCAGCGACGCCGCGUGAAGGAUGAAGUAUUUCGGUAUGUAAACUUCUAUCAGCAGGGAAGAAAAUGACGGUACCUGACUAAGAAGCCCCGGCUAACUACGUGCCAGCAGCCGCGGUAAUACGUAGGGGGCAAGCGUUAUCCGGAUUUACUGGGUGUAAAGGGAGCGUAGACGGCUGUGCAAGUCUGAAGUGAAAGGCAUGGGCUCAACCUGUGGACUGCUUUGGAAACUGUGCAGCUAGAGUGUCGGAGAGGUAAGUGGAAUUCCUAGUGUAGCGGUGAAAUGCGUAGAUAUUAGGAGGAACACCAGUGGCGAAGGCGGCUUACUGGACGAUGACU